RNAcentral lists this ribosomal RNA (441 nucleotides) under uncultured bacterium. RNAcentral describes it as "partial 16S ribosomal RNA". It matches the Rfam family "Bacterial small subunit ribosomal RNA", at positions 338 to 795 of the family's 1533-position model. The record is from RNAcentral.
CCUACGGGUGGCAGCAGUCGGGAAUAUUGCGCAAUGGAGGAAACUCUGACGCAGUGACGCCGCGUGCAGGAAGAAGGUUUUCGGAUUGUAAACUGCUUUAGGCAGGGAAGAAACACGACAGUCCCUGUAACAUACGCUCCGGCUAACUACGUGCCAGCAGCCGCGGUAAUCCGUAGGGAGCAGGCGUUAUCCGGAUUUAUUGGGUGUAAAGGGUGCGUAGACGGGAAGUCAAGUUGGUUGUGAAAUCCCUCGGCUUAACUGAGGAACUGCAACCAAAACUAACGGUCUGGAGUGCUGGAGAGGAAAGUGGAAUUCCUAGUGUAGCGGUGAAAUGCGUAGAUAUUAGGAGGAACACCAGUGGCGAAGGCGACUUGCUGGACAGCAACUGACGUUGAGGCACGAAAGUGUGGGGAGCAAACAGGAUUAGAUACCCUAGUAGUC